Molecule: ribosomal RNA, 497 nt
Filed under: uncultured bacterium
Lineage: Bacteria
Description: partial 16S ribosomal RNA
Rfam family: Bacterial small subunit ribosomal RNA
Source: RNAcentral
GAUGAACGCUGGCGGCGUGCCUAAUACAUGCAAGUCGAGCGAACAGACGAGGAGCUUGCUCCUCUGACGUUAGCGGCGGACGGGUGAGUAACACGUGGAUAACCUACCUAUAAGACUGGGAUAACUUCGGGAAACCGGAGCUAAUACCGGAUAAUAUAUUUAACCGCAUGGUUCAAUAGUGAAAGACGGUUUUGCUGUCACUUAUAGAUGGAUCCGCGCCGCAUUAACUAGUUGGUAAGGUAACGGCUUACCAAGGCAACGAUGCGUAGCCGACCUGAGAGGGUGAUCGGCCACACUGGAACUGAGACACGGUCCAGACUCCUACGGGAGGCAGCAGUAGGGAAUCUUCCGCAAUGGGCGAAAGCCUGACGGAGCAACGCCGCGUGAGUGAUGAAGGUCUUCGGAUCGUAAAACUCUGUUAUUAGGGAAGAACAAAUGUGUAAGUAACUAUGCACGUCUUGACGGUACCUAAUCAGAAAGCCACGGCUAACUACGUG